This is a long non-coding RNA of Xenopus tropicalis (tropical clawed frog), 791 nucleotides long. RefSeq lists it as uncharacterized. The record is from RefSeq and is a predicted model, not a curated record. The transcript is spliced from 2 exons. Lineage: Eukaryota; Metazoa; Chordata; Amphibia; Anura; Pipidae.
CAGGUAUGGGACCUGUUAUACAGAAUGCUGGGAACUUGGGGUUUUUUUGGAUAUGGGGCUCCAUAAUUUGUAUCUCUAUCAGUGCUGUUCCAAGGCUACUAUGGGUAUAUGUAGCUCCAUAAUUUGUAUCUCUAUCAGUGCUGUUCCAAGGCUACUAUGGGUAUUUGUAGCUCCAUAAUGUGUAUCGCUAUCAGUGCUGUUCCAAGGCUACUAUGGGUAUUUGUAGCUCCAUAAUUUGUAUCUCUAUCAGUGCUGUUCCAAGGCUACUAUGGGUAUAUGUAGCUCCAUGAUUUGUAUCUCUAUCAGUGCUGUUCCAAGGCUACUAUGGGUAUAUGUAGCUCCAUGAUUUGUAUCUCUAUCAGUGCUGUUCCAAGGCUACUAUGGGUAUAUGUAGCUCCAUGAUUUGUAUCUCUAUCAGUGCUGUUCCAAGGCUACUAUGGGUAUAUGUAGCUCCAUAAUUUGUAUCUCUAUCAGUGCUGUUCCAAGGCUACUAUGGGUAUAUGUAGCUCCAUAAUUUGUAUCUCUAUCAGUGCUGUUCCAAGGCUACUAUGGGUAUAUGUAGCUCCAUAAUUUGUAUCUCUAUCAGUGCUGUUCCAAGGCUACUAUGGGUAUAUGUAGCUCCAUAAUUUGUAUCUCUAUCAGUGCUGUUCCAAGGCUACUAUGGGUAUUUGUAGCUCCAUAAUUUGUAUCUCAGACUGCUACCUGCUUUCUACAGGCUUCUUUGCUUCACAUGUCUCUGUGUAGAAUGUUCUGCUCUCCAAUGCAUGAAAUAAACAAUAAUGAAACAAUUA